GCGGGGGGCGCGUGUGGAGCUGGUGGCGUCCGCCGGGCCCGGGUAGUUGCACGUGGGCAGCCCGGCGCGCUGGAGGAAGGGGCCCGAGUGGAGGAGGAUCGGGGCCUCGGGGGUCCAGACCCACACACCUGUCAGCAGCUUGGCCUCCAGCGGCGGCUCCUGCAGGCGGACUCAGGCUCAUUCUCACGCGGGUCUUUCCUCUUGCUGCCUUCCUGUGUCCUGGCUCCAUUAGUCUUCCCGGAGCUCUGGACUCCGCUGACCCGUGAGGGGAGCGAGCCGUGUUCUGGAAACUGGGUGGCCGGGACAGUAAGGGCCUCUACCCCCAGGAAGCCUGGAGCUGCUGCACUCAUUCAUUCCGCGUUUGCUGACCCGCUCCCCAGUGCUGUGCCGGGUGCAGGAGAUCCAGUAGGGGAAGGACUGGCAAGGCCCCGUCUGUCCGGGCCUCACAGCCCAGUAGGGAAGCUCAGGUAACAGGCCAGACCGUGCCAUUCUGACAGUACUGCAGACGUGAGGACAAUGAAGUCCGACAUUGCUGUGGUGACCAGAGGAAGAGCUCAAGCUGGUUCUGCCUGAGCUGAGGCAUGAGCCCGCGGUGCUCCAGGCUACCAGAGAGAGAGAGACCCAGAGGUCGGUAGAGCUGGACACCAGGUUGGACGACUCCCUUCAGUGGAAAGCCUUGAAGAGUCAGGAGAGUAAAAGAGAAGGGAGAGAUGGGCAGGGGACCAUGGAAGGAAGAGAGGUGGACAGCCAUGUAAAGAGAUCUGGAAGAUCUUCCCUGCCCACUGUGUCUUGUGAAAAGGAAACAACCGGUGGUGUUAACAGGGCUGACUCAUGGAAAGUGAAAUGAUGGAGCACAUUUGAUUUGGAGACAGAAGUCAUAAAGUCUUGUCUGUGCCUCGCCAUAUGCCAGCUGUGUGAUUCCAGGCAAGUCUGCUUCCAAAUAUUCCCUGGUCCUGGGCACUGUUAUAUGGAAAUAAGUUGUCUCUUGUGUGGUAUAUGUGCUGGCCUUGUGGGUCUCUGGUAACAGGGUAUAGCAUAUGUAAAGGGUAUUUUUUAGUGGGUAGACAAGUUUA
This is a long non-coding RNA of Ailuropoda melanoleuca (giant panda), 1073 nucleotides long. RefSeq lists it as uncharacterized. NCBI's taxonomy places the organism in Eukaryota, Metazoa, Chordata, Mammalia, Carnivora, Ursidae. The record is from RefSeq and is a predicted model, not a curated record. The transcript is spliced from 3 exons.